This is a long non-coding RNA of Paramormyrops kingsleyae, 553 nucleotides long. RefSeq lists it as uncharacterized. The record is from RefSeq and is a predicted model, not a curated record. NCBI's taxonomy places the organism in Eukaryota, Metazoa, Chordata, Actinopteri, Osteoglossiformes, Mormyridae.
CGCAGUUUUAGCUGGCGCGUUUCCAGCACUUUCUCGACGACGUAAUAGCCUUUGAUCACAGUAGAGAAACGCUUUGCUGACCUGGCGCUGGAGAGAAGGUUCCGGAGCUCGGCGGUGUGGAGCAGCGGAUGGACGUCCCGUGGGUGUGCAGGUCUGACGCCCUCACUUCUGUCUGCAGUCUGUCGAGGGACCAGCGAAUCCCCGGAGAUGCUCCUUCACCACUGAUGUCGGGCAGGAUGAUGGACAGGAUGCUUAUUUUUCCCACUUCCAGUCAGGCCGCCCCUUCGCUUUUGUAUGGACGCAGAGCUGAGCUGCGUGUCCAGCACCCUCGCUGAGGAAUCCCCGGCUCGCCCUCGGCACAGCUGGCCUGAGCUAACGGCACGGGGGCGGCCAAGGCCGAGUGAUGCAACGCCAUCUUGGCACACCGUGCUCUGGGCCACGACCUUCUUUGAUCAGCAAAGCCAGGGUCGUGGCAAGGCCGGUGCUGACAGGCAGACGUCUGAGCCCCGGCGGACGGGGGGAAAUUUAUUAUUAAAGCUGCAUUUCAUCUGUC